RNAcentral lists this ribosomal RNA (745 nucleotides) under uncultured Candidatus Cenarchaeales thaumarchaeote. Its description in RNAcentral is "bacterial SSU rRNA". It matches the Rfam family "Archaeal small subunit ribosomal RNA", at positions 539 to 1283 of the family's 1478-position model. The record is from RNAcentral. Lineage: Archaea; Thermoproteati; Nitrososphaerota; Candidatus Cenarchaeales.
UUUCGGUUAAAUCUAUGCGCUUAACGUAUAGGCCGCCGAAAAUACUGGACAGCUAGGGAGUGGGAGAGGUACACGGUACUCAAUAGGAAGGGGUAAAAUCCUUUGAUCUAUUGAUGACCACCUGUGGCGAAGGCGGUGUACCAGAACACGUUCGACGGUGAGGGAUGAAAGCUGGGGGAGCAAACCGGAUUAGAUACCCGGGUAGUCCCAGCUGUAAACGAUGCAGACUCGGUGAUGCAUUGGCUUGUGGCCAAUGCAGUGCCGCAGGGAAGCCGUUAAGUCUGCCGCCUGGGAAGUACGUACGCAAGUAUGAAACUUAAAGGAAUUGGCGGGGGAGCACCACAAGGGGUGAAGCCUGCGGUUCAAUUGGAGUCAACGCCAGAAACCUUACCCGGGGCGACAGCAGAAUGAAGGUCAAGCUGAAGACUUUACCAGACAAGCUGAGAGGUGGUGCAUGGCCGUCGCCAGCUCGUGCCGUGAGAUGUCCUGUUAAGUCAGGUAACGAGCGAGACCCCUGCGUCUAGUUGCUACCAUUACUCUCUGGAGUAGUGGAGCGAAUUAGACGGACCGCCACAGUUAAUGUGGAGGAAGGAAGGGGCCACGGCAGGUCAGUAUGCCCCGAAACCCUGGGGCCACACGCGGGCUGCAAUGGUAUUGACAAUGUGUUCCGAAUCCGAAAGGAGGAGGCAAUCAUCAAACGAUACCUCAGUUAUGACUGAGGGCUGUAACUCGCCCUCACGAAUAU